CCUACGGGAGGCAGCAGUGAGGAAUAUUGGUCAAUGGGCGUGAGCCUGAACCAGCCAAGUCGCGUGAGGGAAGACGGCCCUAUGGAUUGUAAACUUCUUUUGUCCGGGAGUAAAAGACGCCACGCGUGGCGUUUUGUGAGUACCGGAUGAAAAAGGACCGGCUAACUCCGUGCCAGCAGCCGCGGUAAUACGGAGGGUCCGAGCGUUAUCCGGAUUUAUUGGGUUUAAAGGGAGCGUAGGCGGGAUGUUAAGUUAGUCGUGAAAGUUUGUGGCUCAACCGUCGAAUUGCAGUGGAAACUGGCAGGCUUGAGUGCAGUGAAGGUAUGCGGAAUUCGUGGUGUAGCGGUGAAAUGCUUAGAUAUCACGAAGAACUCCGAUUGCGAAGGCAGCACACUGGAGUGCUACUGACGCUGAAGCUCGAAAGUGUGGGUAUCGAACAGGAUUAGAUACCCGUGUAGUC
Molecule: ribosomal RNA, 460 nt
Filed under: uncultured bacterium
Lineage: Bacteria
Description: partial 16S ribosomal RNA
Rfam family: Bacterial small subunit ribosomal RNA
Source: RNAcentral